This 3067-nucleotide unclassified non-coding RNA is filed under the name Hevea brasiliensis (rubber tree). The record is from RNAcentral. Lineage: Eukaryota; Viridiplantae; Streptophyta; Magnoliopsida; Malpighiales; Euphorbiaceae.
AACCUUUGAAGCGAAAGUUGCUGAGACCUUGAACAUGGUUACAUAUUGAAUUUGUUUUUGCAUGACCGUGAAGAGACUUGUGGUUGGAAAAGCUGUAGUUUAAAUGAGUUCAAGGCACUGUUCCCUAAUUCUCUUUGUCUUCUGCCUCGCUUCUGUCCUUGACAAAUUUGACACACAACAAAUAGCAAGGCAUCAAUAAAAACCCCUACACCUCACCAAAUCCCAGUUUCUUCUUUAUAUGUUCUUGCUUGGAAAUAAGUUGGGUAUCUUCUUCUAAGCAUUUGGUACACCUGCAUCUGAAACCAUAAUCUGCAAGUAAUGCCUGCCUCUCUUCGAAAGGAAGGUCCUCUUCUAUAUAUGAAAUUGUAACCUCUUCUCCCUUGCUAAUGGGUCUGAGGGCAAUGAUUGUUGCUUGGCCAUCCUUGUCUUCCUCUCUUUUGAAAGCUCUUGCAUUUGGACAACAGGAGUGGUUCAUACAACUCUGUAAUGGAUAGAAUGCAGUACCUUGACAACAAACUGAAUAACCAUCACCCAGAGCAUCCAGAAAUGAUUGAGUAACUUCCUCAGCUUCUCCCUUUUCAGGGUCUGGAAGAUCAUCAAUGUACAAAAAAUAAUCUUCCACUGGAGAUGCUACAACCAAAUCACUGUCAGAAAUGAAACUUAAAAUUAUUACCUGAACACUGGAGCAAAUCAUGAGUAUGAUAAACAUGCCACACAGUUAUGAUAAACAUGCCACACAGUCUAUCUUGAGGAAACGUUUAUAUCUUGUUUCAAUGUUAUACAAGUCCAUUGCAAUUAUCUCCUUAUUUGCACGUAAGAUUAACAAUUUUGUGUAGUAGAAUAGAAAAGAAUGAAGCCUUGAGCGAUUGUGAUGCUUACAGAUUAUUCAGCUCAAACAUGCCAAUAAUAUUCCCAUAGAUUUCUAGGGAGAAUACUUUGUUGUGUCAAGUACUUCAAUAGUACAAAGCAAAAAAUAGUAAGAAAUAUAAUUUUUCAAAAGAACAUAAAUUGAACCAAAACAUGGAAUAGGAUACAUGGCUCACAUUCCUGGUCAAAGAUAGCGGCCUUAAGGAGCUGCAGCGACGUGAAUGCAAGAUCCCUUACUUCCAUCCUAAAUGCAGUUUCAUCAGAACGAUCAACAUCAUCUGGCAAUGAAAUACAUUCCCACCACCUCCUCUUGUAUCCAAUUGAUACUGGCUUCCAUGCUUCCAAAAGUAAAGAGAGUUCAGCGCAGUCCAAUUCAACAGGAUCAGUAUACUUGUUUUGUCCUUUUAGAUGAGCAGCUUUUAGCUUUCUAUAUCUUAAAAUGGUGAAAGAAAUCGUCUUGGCUGCAAGGAGGAAGAUGUCAUUUGUUUCUGUGAAAAUCAAAGAGCAUCAAAGAGAGAGAAAAAUAAUGAGCAAGUAGACAAGAAACAAAAACAGUACUUGAACAAAAUUAAUCAAUGACAAUAUCCUUCAAUGUUAGACCUAACCAUCAGCAUGUUGCAUAAAUUUUGAAAGUGCCUCUCUAGAUAGUGCUUCUGACCUCUCCCCAGUGCAAAGUAAUGAAUGAGAUGAUUCCCAAUCAGCCUCCGCACAUGUUUUGCUACAAUAUUGGCAAAAUUGGUUAAAAUUAAAAGGGAUUUGUUCAUGCUGAAUGCCUAAUAAAGAAAACUGGAAAAAGCAGAUGUCUCUAGAAAUUCCAGUAGCAGAGAAAACCACACUUGAAAACAUGGUAAAAACCAGAAUCAAUUGGCUCAGAAUGUCUUGCUUCCAGCCGCAAAAUAACACUCCCAUUUUAAGCCUUGAAAAAACCUUUACCAUUUCCUUGUGUCCGUGCGGCAGCAUCCUUUUUAAGACUUUGACAAGCCUUCUGAGAGUUCUCAAAAUAUUUAAAUAAAUAACCAUUAAAAUUGCUCCUCUUGUUUCACAUAGAAGUAACAAAGCCACCAUCAUGAGUGGGAUCAACAGAAAAAUCAAUAGAUACUGGCUAUAGAUAAUCAGUUUGAUUUGUUCUAGGGUACCAUGGUUCAAGUAUCCAGUAUCAUUUGCAAAGGUAGUCGUCAAUCUAUAUAAUCACAUCAUGUCAGCUGGAAGACAGCAUACUUGCUGUUUUUUGUUACAGAGAAAACUCUUUUGAAAGCCCUUAAAAUGCUCAUCCAGGGCUACUUAUAUAUUUCUAUUCGUUACUGUUAAAAACGCAACAUGCUUUGAAGCACAAAAAAAUACAUUCACACUCAUGACAAGAUAUUUGAAAUGAAAGAUUGGACUAACAAGAUAUUCACCAUUAAGUGAAAGAAUAAAUUGACCUACCUACAAUAGUAAGCUUCUCCACAUCCCCCAGGACAAGAAAAGGCUGGAGGCAAGGAAAAUUUUUCAGAGUGAGGCAACACCAACUUGCCAUUCAUUAAUGAUUGCACAACCCCUUUAGGCAAAGUAACUUUGCCAUUGGGACUGCUAGAAGCACAUUUCCUCAGCUUCACAUAACAAUCAUCUUCUUCAUCAGCUGAAUUGGUGUCACAAAAAUCUUUUGAAAUUCCUUCCUUAUCACAUACUUUGCUACCUGACAAACCUAGACUUUGCAAAUAGAGCUUCCUCCCAAUCUGAAGUUCUAUUGAACCAAUAAAUUGGAAACAAAAGCUACAGACCAGACAGUCAAUCUUGUUUGAAGGAUGUUGAAUACCAACAAGCAUUGGGUCCUUCAAAAUAAGUUCGUCCUCUUUGAAAUCCAAAUCAGCAUAGACACCCUUUCCAAACUCGCCAUUCUGUUUAACUUUGAUACCCCGGCAUUGCCUGCUCGAUAUAAGCUCCUCGAAAUACUCCUGGACUUGGAGAGGAGGAGGAGAAGGAUGGAGAAGAACGGAGAUUUGAGAAGCGCACUUGCGAUCGAUCGGGCAAAUUGUUUCCAUUACAAGCUCAAGCCCGUGAAAAGCUCAAGCUUUGUAUCGAUUGUGAGGACUGAAGAGACAAGCCUCCAGUGAGACGGCUCCACAACUUUACUCGGCGGGUCUUCUUCUUAUGCUGCCGUUUCUCAGAGUUCGGGUUUCGUCGGGGAUAUUUGUGUAAUUAUAAUGAUUUUUUAAAAGGG